GAUGAAGAACGCAGCGAACUGCGAUAAGUAAUGUGAAUUGCAGAAUUCAGUGAAUCAUCGAGUCUUUGAACGCACAUUGCGCCCCCUGGCAUUCCGGGGGGCAUGCCUGUCCGAGCGUCAUUGCUGCCCUUCAAGCCCGGCUUGUGUGUUGGAUCGUCGUCCCCCCCGGGGGACGGGCCCGAAAGGCAGCGGCGGCACCGCGUCCGGUCCUCGAGCGUAUGGGGCUUUGUCACCCGCUCGAUUAGGGCCGGCCGGGCGCCAGCCGGCGUCUCCAACCUUCUAUUUUACCAGGUUGACCUCGGAUCAGGUAGGGAUACCCGCUGAACUUAAGCAUAUCAAUAAGCGGAGGA
RNAcentral lists this unclassified non-coding RNA (350 nucleotides) under soil metagenome. RNAcentral describes it as "partial contains 5.8S ribosomal RNA, internal transcribed spacer 2, and large subunit ribosomal RNA". The stretch from base 1 to 120 matches the Rfam family "5.8S ribosomal RNA", at positions 35 to 154 of the family's 154-position model. The record is from RNAcentral.